GAGCACGUAGGUGGGUUUGUAAGUCAGAUGUGAAAGCCUUCUGCUCAACGGAAGAAUUGCAUCUGAAACUACAGACCUUGAGUAUAGGAGGGGAGAAUGGAACUUCUGGUGGAGCGGUGAAAUGCGUAGAUAUCAGAAGGAACACCGGCGGCGAAAGCGAUUCUCUGGCCUAUUACUGACACUCAGUGUGUGAAAGCUAGGGGAGCAAACGGGAUUAGAUACCCCGGUAGUCCUAGCCGUAAACGAUGGGCACUAAGUAGAGGGGUUU
RNAcentral lists this ribosomal RNA (268 nucleotides) under uncultured anaerobic ammonium-oxidizing bacterium. RNAcentral describes it as "partial 16S ribosomal RNA". It matches the Rfam family "Bacterial small subunit ribosomal RNA", at positions 565 to 831 of the family's 1533-position model. The record is from RNAcentral.